CGGGCUUCUGCAGUAGAGGGUGUCAUUCAAGGCUGGGUGCGGGAAGGGGUGAGAACCUGGUGAAGGGACACAAGGUGCCUCUUUCUCUAGUAGCAGUUAAAAGCUGAGUCUUAGGGUAAAACUUUAAAGUCACUCAAGUCCCUGCUUUCACAAAUGAUGUGGGCACUUAGAUGCCUAGAUUCCUAUUGACCGUUGGCUCCACGGUGUUUGUCGCUUUUGAAAACUUUGCCCACGAUUUCCUGAGAUUCCAAUGACAUGUCUGUGGUCUUGGAGCUGCCCUUGGUUGUUGGUACUCAGGGCUUACCAGGCUUGCAGAGAGAGCAUCUGUCUGAGGAAGCCGAGGCGUGCCUGUUAGUGAUUCAAAUCACCUACUCUGAAGAAAUCUGAAUGUGGCUUCAGUGAGAAUUUUAAGGAAAUCUAAUGCACCCCUAAUGUUGCAGAUGUUCCUGCUGCGGAAGCCAAUCUCAUACCAUGCUGAAGACCUGUAAUAUAUGAUAAAAAUCAGUAAUAUUUAAAUGAAGUUGCAGUGCUUUUACAAGUCCAUCAAAUUUCUUCUUGUAAUCUGAAUUGGAUUGUCUAUUAUAAUGGGUACCUAGUUUCUAAAUUGAUUUGUAACACACUUCCAGUGAAAUACUUAAGCUCUAUAGUUCUUGCACUGUAGAUAUUACUCAUGUUACAUAAUACAACAUUAUUCAAUACCACGCAGUUGACCCUUAUGUAACUCAUGUUGGCUUCAUUAGGUACAAAACUAGCUAUACACAAUUUCUGGAUAAUUAAAACUAUUAGUAAACACGUGUGAAAUAUGCUAA
Molecule: long non-coding RNA, 809 nt
Organism: Dermochelys coriacea (leatherback sea turtle)
Lineage: Eukaryota; Metazoa; Chordata; Testudines; Dermochelyidae
Exons: 2
Source: RefSeq, a predicted model, not a curated record